RNAcentral lists this ribosomal RNA (429 nucleotides) under Pseudomonadota bacterium. Its description in RNAcentral is "Proteobacteria bacterium partial 16S ribosomal RNA". It matches the Rfam family "Bacterial small subunit ribosomal RNA", at positions 355 to 776 of the family's 1533-position model. The record is from RNAcentral. Lineage: Bacteria; Pseudomonadati; Pseudomonadota.
UGGGGAAUAUUGGACAAUGGGCGAAAGCCUGAUCCAGCCAUGCCGCGUGUGUGAAGAAGGUCUUCGGAUUGUAAAGCACUUUAAGUUGGGAGGAAGGGCAGUAAGCGAAUACCUUGCUGUUUUGACGUUACCGACAGAAUAAGCACCGGCUAACUCUGUGCCAGCAGCCGCGGUAAUACAGAGGGUGCAAGCGUUAAUCGGAAUUACUGGGCGUAAAGCGCGCGUAGGUGGUUCGUUAAGUUGAAUGUGAAAGCCCCGGGCUCAACCUGGGAACUGCAUCCAAAACUGGCGAGCUAGAGUAGGGCAGAGGGUGGUGGAAUUUCCUGUGUAGCGGUGAAAUGCGUAGAUAUAGGAAUGAACACCAGUGGCGAAGGCGACCACCUGGGCUCAUACUGACACUGAGGUGCGAAAGCGUGGGGAGCAAACAGG